RNAcentral lists this ribosomal RNA (301 nucleotides) under uncultured bacterium. Its description in RNAcentral is "partial 16S ribosomal RNA". It matches the Rfam family "Bacterial small subunit ribosomal RNA", at positions 509 to 807 of the family's 1533-position model. The record is from RNAcentral.
CAGUCGCCACGGGAAUACGUAGGGUGCGAGCGUUAAUCGGAAUUACUGGGCGUAAAGCGUGCGCAGGCGGUUGUGUAAGACAGGUGUGAAAUCCCCGGGCUUAACCUGGGAACUGCGCUUGUGACUGCACAGCUAGAGUAUGGCAGAGGGGGGUGGAAUUCCACGUGUAGCAGUGAAAUGCGUAGAGAUGUGGAGGAACACCGAUGGCGAAGGCAGCCCCCUGGGCCAAUACUGACGCUCAUGCACGAAAGCGUGGGGAGCAAACAGGAUUAGAUACCCGUGUAGUCCCUGUCUCUUAUAC